Helianthus annuus (common sunflower) is the source of this 756-nucleotide long non-coding RNA. RefSeq lists it as uncharacterized. Lineage: Eukaryota; Viridiplantae; Streptophyta; Magnoliopsida; Asterales; Asteraceae. The record is from RefSeq and is a predicted model, not a curated record. The transcript has 3 exons.
UAGUUACAUCCUCUAUGUCUUUAGAUUCAUGCCUCUCUAAAAUCUUCUUCCCUUCCCUCUUUCCAUUUCACGAAUACCAAUCCGUCAUCAGUUCUUGGUCACGAAACAACCGGACUACUAAAACCUUGUGAAGCUUUCAUGUUUAUGAACAACAGGCCCAUCAACUGUUUGAUAAUUUGCCCCAACUAGAUGUUGAUGUUGGGGAUACACAAGGAGACAACCAUUGAUUCAUGCAUGCCUCAACUUUCAUUUGUUUGUUUGGUUGAGAUGUACAACGAAGUAAGGAAUUUUGUGAAUCAAGUAGUUUAUUAAUCUCCUAGAAAAGAACCCUUGGAAAUGGUUUUAUAACCCUUGGAAAUGGUGUUAUUAUUAAUUUUUUAAAGAUUAUGUAGGACAUUCUCUCAUUUCUUCUUACGAAACAAGGCUGAUAAAAUUGCAUACAAGUAUUUUUAUAGUCUUAGACAAUGUACAUUGGUUUAGAUUGAUGGAGGUAUGCCUCAGAGGGAACAGUGAUGAGCAUGACAGCAAUGGAUGAAUAUGGGACUUGUGCUCAAAAUUCAAGAGAUAGCAAUAUCCAUAAACCUUACCCAUCAAAUGGGAUGGUCUAUAUGAUGUCGAACUGCUAGACAUUACAGAAUUCUAAACUUGUGAUUAAGGAACACAAUUUGUAUCAUAUUUAGAGAAUUUGUAUAAUUUUGUAUUUCAUUUGAAUAAUAUGUACAAUUUUGUUGGUUUAUAUAAAGUUGAAUUAUAUAA